GAUGAACGCUGGCGGCGUGCCUAAUACAUGCAAGUCGAGCGAACGGACGAGAAGCUUGCUUCUCUGAUGUUAGCGGCGGACGGGUGAGUAACACGUGGAUAACCUACCUAUAAGACUGGGAUAACUUCGGGAAACCGGAGCUAAUACCGGAUAAUAUUUUGAACCGCAUGGUUCAAAAGUGAAAGACGGUCUUGCUGUCACUUAUAGAUGGAUCCGCGCUGCAUUAGCUAGUUGGUAAGGUAACGGCUUACCAAGGCAACGAUGCAUAGCCGACCUGAGAGGGGGAUCGGCCACACUGGAACUGAGACACGGUCCAGACGCCUACGGGAGGCAGCAGUAGGGAAUCUUCCGCAAUGGGCGAAAGCCUGACGGAGCAACGCCGCGUGAGUGAUGAAGGUCUUCGGUCGUAAAACUCUGUUAUUAGGGAAGAACAUAUGUGUAAGUAACUGUGCACAUCUUGACGGUACCUAAUCAGAAAGCCACGGCUAACUACGUG
This 496-nucleotide ribosomal RNA is filed under the name uncultured bacterium. Its description in RNAcentral is "partial 16S ribosomal RNA". It matches the Rfam family "Bacterial small subunit ribosomal RNA", at positions 28 to 507 of the family's 1533-position model. The record is from RNAcentral.